AAUUCGAUUAACGCGAAGAACCUUACCUGGUCUUGACAUCCACGGAAGUUUUCAGAGAUGUGAAUGUGCCUUCGGGAACCGUGAGACAGGUGCUGCAUGGCUGUCGUCAGCUCGUGUUGUGAAAUGUUGGGUUAAGUCCCGCAACGAGCGCAACCCUUAUCCUUUGUUGCCAGCGGUCCGGCCGGGAACUCAAAGGAGACUGCCAGUGAUAAACUGGAGGAAGGUGGGGAUGACGUCAAGUCAUCAUGGCCCUUACGACCAGGGCUACACACGUGCUACAAUGGCGCAUACAAAGAGAAGCGACCUCGCGAGAGCAAGCGGACCUCAUAAAGUGCGUCGUAAUCCGGAUUGGAGUCUGCAACUCGACUCCAUGAAGUCGGAAUCGCUAGUAAUCGU
This 396-nucleotide ribosomal RNA is filed under the name uncultured Shigella sp. RNAcentral's name for it is "bacterial SSU rRNA". It matches the Rfam family "Bacterial small subunit ribosomal RNA", at positions 948 to 1345 of the family's 1533-position model. The record is from RNAcentral. Lineage: Bacteria; Pseudomonadati; Pseudomonadota; Gammaproteobacteria; Enterobacterales; Enterobacteriaceae.